UGGGGAAUAUUGCACAAUGGGCGCAAGCCUGAUGCAGCCAUGCCGCGUGUAUGAAGAAGGCCUUCGGGUUGUAAAGUACUUUCAGCGGGGAGGAAGGGAGUAAAGUUAAUACCUUUGCUCAUUGACGUUACCCGCAGAAGAAGCACCGGCUAACUCCGUGCCAGCAGCCGCGGUAAUACGGAGGGUGCAAGCGUUAAUCGGAAUUACUGGGCGUAAAGCGCACGCAGGCGGUUUGUUAAGUCAGAUGUGAAAUCCCCGGGCUCAACCUGGGAACUGCAUCUGAUACUGGCAAGCUUGAGUCUCGUAGAGGGGGGUAGAAUUCCAGGUGUAGCGGUGAAAUGCGUAGAGAUCUGGAGGAAUACCGGUGGCGAAGGCGGCCCCCUGGACGAAGACUGACGCUCAGGUGCGAAAGCGUGGGGAGCAAACGGG
RNAcentral lists this ribosomal RNA (429 nucleotides) under Chloroflexota bacterium. RNAcentral's name for it is "Chloroflexi bacterium partial 16S ribosomal RNA". It matches the Rfam family "Bacterial small subunit ribosomal RNA", at positions 355 to 776 of the family's 1533-position model. Lineage: Bacteria; Bacillati; Chloroflexota. The record is from RNAcentral.